This 226-nucleotide long non-coding RNA is filed under the name Bos taurus (domestic cattle). Its description in RNAcentral is "long non-coding RNA NONBTAT001374". Lineage: Eukaryota; Metazoa; Chordata; Mammalia; Artiodactyla; Bovidae. The record is from RNAcentral.
UUUUAUUUUUUUCCUCCAGCUAUGUAAAGUGGUCCAAAACUUUAGCUUUUCUGUAAAUUUCUAUAGUGUCUAAAAUUUUUAAGCGACAAGUAUUGUUAACACUAAACUUUUUUUAUAUAAGGACUAACUCAUGAAUAAACUUCAAAGUUCAUUCUCUUAUAUAAGUAUUAAUAGCAGGAGAUUUUUACUUAACACUUAAUUUUAACUACAUGAUACUUUAUAUAUA